AGUCUCUAAGCCGCCUCAGGAAGCUGGCAGAGCGGGUGGGCGACCCUGAGCUUCGGGACAGCAUCCAGGCCUCACUGGCCAGCGUGCGAGUGCCAUUAGAACGAGUGAUGACAACACAGGGAGGAAGUGCUGCCAUGGCAACACCAUCCGCCACAUCCUCCUGCCCACCCCAACCUUCAGUCCUGUGGUGGGGCCCCAGCAGGAACAGCUACUCCAAAUCCACAAGGCCCCACCACUAUGGAACCGGUGGAAACUGAAGUGGUCUCCAGCCUGCUCUCAUCUCAAUUACCUCUGAGGUGGGAAAGAGCAACAAAAGCCAGCUAUGUUGUCCCUGAAAGGUGUCUGGGAAAAGCAGAUUUCUCAUCAUAUCCUGGUCUCUCCCAGCUGUUCCAUUCUUAGCUGCCUACAUGAGGUAGGGUUGGAGGGGUGGGUGUCAAGAGGCCAUUCUUUCCACCAGGGAUAUCUCCUGCCAGACCUCUCUGACUGCAGAGGCCACAACUGCAGACUAUAACUUGGGGAAGGAACAUUUGGUUCAGGUUCCUCAGGAGACAGUCUGAUCCCCUUCCCAUUGCCUUUCUGAGGCUACUAGUGGCCCUCUACCCUCCUGUCCCCACCCUUUGCCAAGAACAACCGCUGGCAGGUGCCUUUCCUACAGCCUCAGUGGUAGAAAGACCCAGUGGGGGCAGGAGUCCCUCCAAGGGGAGGAACUCCAAGCCCCACCCUAAUAGAGAAGAAAAGAAGGGGAGGAAAAAGGUUUAGUCCAGGUAGAGAAGCUCUGCUUAGCUCUGGAGAAGGAGGGAGUGAGGAGGCGUGGAGGCUGAAAUCUCCCAGGAGACUCCGCUCUUCAUCAGCGAUUUGUUCCAUUCCUCUAAGAGUCAGGAUUCUGUUCCCACUGAACAUCAAGGAAAACUGAGGCCACCAAAGGAAGGAAGGAAAAUCAAGGCAGAAUCAACAAAACUCCUUCACCCUCUCAGAAAAUUCAGAAAAGGCUA
Long non-coding RNA from Suricata suricatta (meerkat), 992 nucleotides. RefSeq lists it as uncharacterized. Lineage: Eukaryota; Metazoa; Chordata; Mammalia; Carnivora; Herpestidae. The transcript has 2 exons. The record is from RefSeq and is a predicted model, not a curated record.